ACUCUCUGACCGGCCGUGACCGAAUACAAAUGGGCUGAUCAGUGUGUGAACGAGCGUGCUUGAGUUAUGACGGACACGGUACAAUAGGUGCCAGUGUGAAAGAGGUCCUUAUGGCCUCCAAGUGCGUGUCCUCGAGGUUAUGUCCGCGACUGGGAAGAUCGGCCACGAGUUGUCGCGGCCUGCGGCGGCAGGGUUGACCACAGCGGCACGCGCCUGCAGUGACCGUCGGAGGCACCUCACGCACGGGGAGUAGGAGCGUGCUGGGACGCAGCCGCACGCCGCAGCGAACGGUACAAAAGGGAGUCUUGGACGCUGGUAGUCAUCCUUUGUUUGGCUUCUGUAGCUUUCUCCCGGCCUCAGGAUGAAAAAGACGCGACCAUCGUCGACUACUUCAACGAACUCAGGGAGAACCAGAACUACGACUUCUCACUUGAGACCUCUAACGGGAUAAUUCGGGAGGAGUCUGGAGUUUCCUACCCUGGCGCCGACCCCGAGACGGGCAGCUACACCCAGUCGGGCAGCUACGAGUUCACCCACCCUGACGGCACCGUCACCUACCUGUCGUUCAUCGCGGAUGAGGACGGCUACAGGGCCGAAAGUGACGCCAUUCCAGUGUUCAAUGGGCGUGUGGAUAUCCAAGAUGUCUAGAGUUGUGUUUUAAAAGAUGAUCCAUUCAUGUUCCACAUUGUUUAAUUAUUAUAUGUUCGAUGGAAGCGAGUGUUUGCGGUAUGCUAAACUGCAAUGCGUUGGGAGUCGCUAAAAUCGAAUUUGUAACUCUCUAUGACACCGAAAAUACACAAACACAGCUGGUGUAAUGUGUGGAAGUUAUAUGCCUUCGAAACAUACAUAAUAAACCGCUAUCUACUGAUGUUUGUAUAAUGCAUUGAAUAAAUAUAUCACGAAAUGGG
This is a long non-coding RNA of Amphibalanus amphitrite, 908 nucleotides long. RefSeq lists it as uncharacterized. The record is from RefSeq and is a predicted model, not a curated record. NCBI's taxonomy places the organism in Eukaryota, Metazoa, Arthropoda, Thecostraca, Balanomorpha, Balanidae. The transcript has 3 exons.